UUAAGCGACUAAGCGUACACGGUGGAUGCCCUGGCAGUCAGAGGCGAUGAAGGACGUGCUAAUCUGCGAUAAGCGUCGGUAAGGUGAUAUGAACCGUUAUAACCGGCGAUUUCCGAAUGGGGAAACCCAGUGUGAUUCGUCACACUAUCAUUAACUGAAUCCAUAGGUUAAUGAGGCGAACCGGGGGAACUGAAACAUCUAAGUACCCCGAGGAAAAGAAAUCAACCGAGAUUCCCCAGUAGCGGCGAGCGAACGGGGAGCAGCCCAGAGCCUGAAUCAGUGUGUGUGUUAGUGGAAGCGUCUGGAAAGGCGCGCGAUACAGGGUGACAGCCCCGUACACAAAAAUGCACAUACUGUGAGCUCGAUGAGUAGGGCGGGACACGUGGUAUCCUGUCUGAAUAUGGGGGGACCAUCCUCCAAGGCUAAAUACUCCUGACUGACCGAUAGUGAACCAGUACCGUGAGGGAAAGGCGAAAAGAACCCCGGCGAGGGGAGUGAAAAAGAACCUGAAACCGUGUACGUACAAGCAGUGGGAGCCUCUUUAUGGGGUGACUGCGUACCUUUUGUAUAAUGGGUCAGCGACUUAUAUUCUGUAGCAAGGUUAACCGAAUAGGGGAGCCGAAGGGAAACCGAGUCUUAACUGGGCGUUAAGUUGCAGGGUAUAGACCCGAAACCCGGUGAUCUAGCCAUGGGCAGGUUGAAGGUUGGGUAACACUAACUGGAGGACCGAACCGACUAAUGUUGAAAAAUUAGCGGAUGACUUGUGGCUGGGGGUGAAAGGCCAAUCAAACCGGGAGAUAGCUGGUUCUCCCCGAAAGCUAUUUAGGUAGCGCCUCGUGAAUUCAUCUCCGGGGGUAGAGCACUGUUUCGGCAAGGGGGUCAUCCCGACUUACCAACCCGAUGCAAACUGCGAAUACCGGAGAAUGUUAUCACGGGAGACACACGGCGGGUGCUAACGUCCGUCGUGAAGAGGGAAACAACCCAGACCGCCAGCUAAGGUCCCAAAGUCAUGGUUAAGUGGGAAACGAUGUGGGAAGGCCCAGACAGCCAGGAUGUUGGCUUAGAAGCAGCCAUCAUUUAAAGAAAGCGUAAUAGCUCACUGGUCGAGUCGGCCUGCGCGGAAGAUGUAACGGGGCUAAACCAUGCACCGAAGCUGCGGCAGCGACACUAUGUGUUGUUGGGUAGGGGAGCGUUCUGUAAGCCUGUGAAGGUGUGCUGUGAGGUAUGCUGGAGGUAUCAGAAGUGCGAAUGCUGACAUAAGUAACGAUAAAGCGGGUGAAAAGCCCGCUCGCCGGAAGACCAAGGGUUCCUGUCCAACGUUAAUCGGGGCAGGGUGAGUCGACCCCUAAGGCGAGGCCGAAAGGCGUAGUCGAUGGGAAACAGGUUAAUAUUCCUGUACUUGGUGUUACUGCGAAGGGGGGACGGAGAAGGCUAUGUUGGCCGGGCGACGGUUGUCCCGGUUUAAGCGUGUAGGCUGGUUUUCCAGGCAAAUCCGGAAAAUCAAGGCUGAGGCGUGAUGACGAGGCACUACGGUGCUGAAGCAACAAAUGCCCUGCUUCCAGGAAAAGCCUCUAAGCAUCAGGUAACAUCAAAUCGUACCCCAAACCGACACAGGUGGUCAGGUAGAGAAUACCAAGGCGCUUGAGAGAACUCGGGUGAAGGAACUAGGCAAAAUGGUGCCGUAACUUCGGGAGAAGGCACGCUGAUAUGUAGGUGAAGUCCCUCGCGGAUGGAGCUGAAAUCAGUCGAAGAUACCAGCUGGCUGCAACUGUUUAUUAAAAACACAGCACUGUGCAAACACGAAAGUGGACGUAUACGGUGUGACGCCUGCCCGGUGCCGGAAGGUUAAUUGAUGGGGUUAGCGGUAACGCGAAGCUCUUGAUCGAAGCCCCGGUAAACGGCGGCCGUAACUAUAACGGUCCUAAGGUAGCGAAAUUCCUUGUCGGGUAAGUUCCGACCUGCACGAAUGGCGUAAUGAUGGCCAGGCUGUCUCCACCCGAGACUCAGUGAAAUUGAACUCGCUGUGAAGAUGCAGUGUACCCGCGGCAAGACGGAAAGACCCCGUGAACCUUUACUAUAGCUUGACACUGAACAUUGAGCCUUGAUGUGUAGGAUAGGUGGGAGGCUUUGAAGUGUGGACGCCAGUCUGCAUGGAGCCGACCUUGAAAUACCACCCUUUAAUGUUUGAUGUUCUAACGUUGACCCGUAAUCCGGGUUGCGGACAGUGUCUGGUGGGUAGUUUGACUGGGGCGGUCUCCUCCUAAAGAGUAACGGAGGAGCACGAAGGUUGGCUAAUCCUGGUCGGACAUCAGGAGGUUAGUGCAAUGGCAUAAGCCAGCUUGACUGCGAGCGUGACGGCGCGAGCAGGUGCGAAAGCAGGUCAUAGUGAUCCGGUGGUUCUGAAUGGAAGGGCCAUCGCUCAACGGAUAAAAGGUACUCCGGGGAUAACAGGCUGAUACCGCCCAAGAGUUCAUAUCGACGGCGGUGUUUGGCACCUCGAUGUCGGCUCAUCACAUCCUGGGGCUGAAGUAGGUCCCAAGGGUAUGGCUGUUCGCCAUUUAAAGUGGUACGCGAGCUGGGUUUAGAACGUCGUGAGACAGUUCGGUCCCUAUCUGCCGUGGGCGCUGGAGAACUGAGGGGGGCUGCUCCUAGUACGAGAGGACCGGAGUGGACGCAUCACUGGUGUUCGGGUUGUCAUGCCAAUGGCACUGCCCGGUAGCUAAAUGCGGAAGAGAUAAGUGCUGAAAGCAUCUAAGCACGAAACUUGCCCCGAGAUGAGUUCUCCCUGACUCCUUGAGAGUCCUGAAGGAACGUUGAAGACGACGACGUUGAUAGGCCGGGUGUGUAAGCGCAGCGAUGCGUUGAGCUAACCGGUACUAAUGAACCGUGAGGCUUAACCUU
This 2901-nucleotide ribosomal RNA is filed under the name Escherichia coli. Its description in RNAcentral is "bacterial LSU rRNA". It matches the Rfam family "Bacterial large subunit ribosomal RNA". The record is from RNAcentral. Lineage: Bacteria; Pseudomonadati; Pseudomonadota; Gammaproteobacteria; Enterobacterales; Enterobacteriaceae.